This 61-nucleotide transfer RNA is filed under the name Ovis aries (sheep). It matches the Rfam family "tRNA", at positions 6 to 65 of the family's 71-position model. From Rfam's summary of the family: Transfer RNA (tRNA) molecules are approximately 80 nucleotides in length. Lineage: Eukaryota; Metazoa; Chordata; Mammalia; Artiodactyla; Bovidae. The record is from Rfam by way of RNAcentral.
ACUAGCUCAGUCAGUAAAGAAUCUGCCUGCAAUGCAGGAGACCCAGGUUCAAUUCCUGGGU